RNAcentral lists this transfer RNA (66 nucleotides) under Aedes aegypti (yellow fever mosquito). The record is from Rfam by way of RNAcentral. Lineage: Eukaryota; Metazoa; Arthropoda; Insecta; Diptera; Culicidae.
UCCGUAGUUUGUACUUUGGAGCGCCAAUCUAACGAAUUGGUAGUCGUGGGUUCGAUCCCCACCGGA